GAUGAACGCUAGCGGCAGGCUUAAUACAUGCAAGUCGUGGGGCAGCAUGAGUAGCAAUACUUGAUGGCGACCGGCAAACGGGUGAGGAACACGUACACAACCUUCCUUCAAGCGGGGAAUAGCCCAGAGAAAUUUGGAUUAAAUACCCCAUAAUAUAUUUGAUAAGGCAUCUUAUUAAAUAUUAAAGCUUCGGCACUUGAUGAUGGGUGUGCGGCUGAUUAGAUAGUUGGCGGGGUAACGGCCCACCAAGUCUACGAUCAGUAGCUGAUGUGAGAGCAUGAUCAGCCACACGGGCACUGAGACACGGGCCCGACUCCUACGGGAGGCAGCAGUAAGGAAUAUUGGACAAAUGGACGAAAGUCUGAUCCAGCCAUGCCGCGUGAAGGAUUAAGGUCCUCUGGAUUGUAAACUC
RNAcentral lists this ribosomal RNA (412 nucleotides) under uncultured bacterium. RNAcentral describes it as "bacterial SSU rRNA". It matches the Rfam family "Bacterial small subunit ribosomal RNA", at positions 28 to 432 of the family's 1533-position model. The record is from RNAcentral.